Molecule: ribosomal RNA, 496 nt
Filed under: Gnaptorina himalaya
Lineage: Eukaryota; Metazoa; Arthropoda; Insecta; Coleoptera; Tenebrionidae
Description: partial 16S ribosomal RNA
Rfam family: Archaeal large subunit ribosomal RNA
Source: RNAcentral
AAAAACAUGUCUUUUUGUUUAUGAUUUAAGGUUUGGCCUGCCCAAUGAUUAUUUAAUGGCUGCAGUAUUUUGACUGUACAAAGGUAGCAUAAUCAUUAKUUUCUUAAUUAGGAGCUGGAAUGAACGGUUUGAUGAGAAAUUUACUGUCUCAAUUUAAUUGUUUUAGAAUUUUAUUUUUAAGUGAAAAAGCUUAAAUUUUUUAAGAAGACGAGAAGACCCUAUAGAGUUUUACACGGUAUUAAUUUAUUUUUUAUGGUUUUAUUAUUUUUUAUUUUUUAUUGUGUUUUGUUGGGGUGAUGCGAAAAUUUUUCUAACUUUUCUUAAUUUUUACACUAGUAGUGAUUUGAUGAUCCUUCUGGAUUAUAAGAUUAAAUUACCUUAGGGAUAACAGCGUAAUUUUUUUUAAAAGCUCUUAUUGACAAAAAAGUUUGCGACCUCGAUGUUGGAUUAAAGUUUAUUUUUGGUGUAGAAGCUAGGAAAUUGGGUCUGAUCGACC